Esox lucius (northern pike) is the source of this 1601-nucleotide long non-coding RNA. The record is from Ensembl. NCBI's taxonomy places the organism in Eukaryota, Metazoa, Chordata, Actinopteri, Esociformes, Esocidae.
UCAUUUAGUGUUAUUUGAGUUUCAGCUUAUCAAGCACAGUACAGUGUGUUCAUCACCUGAUGAAGAAUGUCACCUUUGACUAUGGGGUCCACAAGCUCCUCCUACAGCCCCCCCCCCCUUCCCAGCAGCACAAAUAACAACGUGUCAGUGCAAAUGCACACAAUCACACAGGCAAACACAUCGCUGGCCCCUCCUUACCUGCCUGGGUAACAGUCUGCCAUUGACCCUGAAGGGACAUCAUCCUCGAUCGGCUCCAUUACGUGCUGUAAGUGUGUAUUCAUCGUGCCAUUAAAACAAGGUUAUGGACCGUUUGAGGCUGCGCUCUGCUCUCCGUGGGGUUUUAAGACAAUAAAAGCCAAGCUCCCUCCCGUGAUAGCUGGACUACAACUGGCCCUGUGGCUCAGAAGCUUCUGGAAGCACACACUUGGUGGCAUCACCUCUUGUCCGAAUUGCAAGAGCGUUUACCCAACACUGUUCUGUCUUGUCACAAUUGGCGCUCUUUACGUGAAUAGUGCACUGCUUAUGGACCCUGGUCACAAGUGGUGCCCUUUAUAGGGAAUUCGGUGCCAUUUGCCUGUGUGGUUCCAUGGCCAGCCUGUGACCCAUUGCCACCACUCACCUUGUGCCAGGUGGACCUCAGUUCAGAGCCCAGACUGGAGGGUUGGGUGAAGAGGGGAGGCCGACACAAUUUAUGCCAGGUUGAACUCAGUUAAGAGCCCAGACUGGAGGGUUGGGUGAAGAGGGGAGGCCGACACAAUAUAUGCCAGGUGGACCUCAGUUCAGAGCCCAGACUGGAGGGUUGGGUGAAGAGGGGAGGCCGACACAAUUUAUGCCAGGUGGAACUCAGUUAAGAGCCCAGACUGGAGGGUUGGGUGAAGAGGGGAGGCCGACACAAUAUAUGCCAGGUGGACCUCAGUUCUGAGCCCAGACUGGAGUGUUGGGUGGAGAGGGGAGGCCGACACAAUUUCAACAAUGACAUUGAAAGGAAAAACAUUUCCAUAAACUGACAAUACAAAAAAAAAAAGCAUUAUGCCUUUCAUCUCUCUGUUUGGGAAUCGUGGUUCCCUGCCCUCCAUGGUUAAAACAGGAACAUUUGAUUAGGGGAAAUCAAGUAAAUUACUGUUCAAAGUGUAUGCCCAGAAUUGACAACGACUCAUUCAAAAGUGUUUUUGCUGCUAUUUCUGUGUGCAUUGUUGGAAGGAGGUUGUUGUUCCUAGCGAAGCCCUAACAGAGGCUUCGGUUGGCAGCUUUGGGACCAGUUCUUGACUUAAAAGGAUCCUUCUGGGUUGUGAUUUUGGAUUAAUUUCUUAUUUAGCAAGAGUUAGACAAACACACGGACUGAGGAUUAGUGCAGCCUGUGUGCGACCUGAAUCAAGGAUCAGGUUUUGCAGGAUCACUCAGGGUGGAAUUAAUGCAAACCCGCAAAAGCAAUGUUUGUGCAGUGUCUUUAUUUACAAAAUGAGUUCUGUGUGCACACGCAGAUGCCGCCCUGGUUGUGGUAGGUUUUUAUAAAGCACCCAUGUCCAGGAAGUACAUUUAUUUUACCGUUGCAAAAAGAGCUACUGCAUAAAUACCGUAAUGCAUGUUUGAUUGAAUUUAGC